UUAUGUCCAAUUUGCCAGUACUGCAGUUUGUGUGUAGUGAGGUGUUUUCAUGGUGUUUUAUUGGUGCUUUUACUAAAGGAAGGCUUCUAUCAAAUUCUUCCAAAUGUUGUCAAACUGAGCUGUGUGAUGAAGUGAGUGUGACAGAAACACUCAGACUGUGUUUCUCUGCUUCAUCAAGUCAAAUCUGGUCCUCAGAGACUGAAUAAAGUCCUGUCCCACUAACAGCAGCUCCAACAGUCUGUUCACUGCUUUCUUCCUGUCAGUCUUCAUCUUUCUGCUGCGUCUCCUCUUCACACUGACCACUUUCUAUCUAACAGUGAGCUCCCAGUGAAGCAGCAGCAUUCAGCCUGUUAGAGUCAACACAAAUGUCUCCAUCCAAGCUCAUGUUGUGCUUUGUUGUCCUCUCAGUCCCCCAGGUGGAGGUGGAUUCAGGGGUGGAGUCUGUCCAGCUGCCCUUCAACACCACACUUCACCUGCCUGAAGACGCUAAAGUGGAGUGGAAGAAUAAUUACGAUACAAAAGUCCACAUGUAUGAGAACGGCUCUGACCAGCCUGAAGAACAGCACCAGUUUUACAGAGACCGAACGAAGAUGAAUGAAGACCUGCUGAAAACUGGAGACCUCAGUCUGACCCUGAAACACCCCACAGAAACAAAGACCUACACCUGCACCGUCUACAGCAGGGAGGGAAACAUCCUGCUGAAGAGAAAGGUGGAGCUGAAAGUCAGAGUCUGUCAGGUGGAGGUGGAGGAGGGGGCGGAGUCUGUCCAGCUGCCCUUCAAAACCACACAAAACCUGCCUGGAGAUGUUAGAGUGGUUUGGGAAUGCAAAGAGCCUGAACCAGUAAUGUUGGUCCAUGUAUAUGACAAUGGCUCUGACCAGCCUGAAGAACAGCACCAGGUUUACAGAGACAGAACGAAGAUGAACGAAGACCUGCUGAAAACUGGAGACCUCAGUCUGACCCUGAAACAGCCCACAGAGAGAGACAGUGGAGGAUAUGCAUGCUACGUUGUGAGGAAUCGAGCUGUGGUUCGAAGGAAGAGAGUGCAGCUCAAAGUCAAAGGGAGAGUUCAGGUUCAGGAUCAAACAGGGGACAUCAGGAACAGAAGCAGCUCCAUUGAUCCGACUCCUCUGAUGGCUGAUCAAUCAGUUUGAUCUGUGUGUUCUUUGAUUAUUGAUCAGUGAUGUCAGAGUGGAGUCAGUGUGAUGUUGUUGUUGUGUGUUUGAGACUUUUAGUGUCCAUGAAGGUCUCUGCUGCCGUAGAUCCUCUGAACUGUGACAGAGGUCUCACUCUGGAGGAAACUCUCAGCACUUUCCAGCAGCUCCUCCAUCAUGGAGGACGUUCCCUCACUGUAACAGGUGGAGGAGAGAGGAGAGGAAGCACAGGUGGAUCCUCUGAGGAAGAGGAGCGUUCCUACAAACCACAUGAUCACAUGACCAGAGGACAAGCAUGUGUAGAAACCUACAUCUGUCUCCAGCAGCUGUCUGAGCUGCAGUCUGUAUUGUGUGUGUAAUAUCUUCAUAUGUUUCUAAUAUUACAGUUUUAUCUUCAGGUGUAAAAUCAGCUGCUCUGCUGUCUUAUCCCCUGAUCCUGUGUGAUUGAUUAAUCCUGCAAACGCCACAAAUUUCAUUUCAGCUUUUAUUUGAAAGCUGAAACCUUGAAGGCUUUACAUGUGUUGGAUAUGAAUGUUUGGAGCCCAGAUCAUCAUUUGUCUUGUUUCAGUGGGAAUGUUUUUCUCCAUGUUGGCCUGAGGGUGGUGCUGUUUAGCCUGUACUGAGUAUUUGUCACUAUGCUGAGUUGUGGGUGGAGUCAGUGAUUGGCUGAAGGUGCCUUCUUUAAAGCGGGAACACUGGCUCAGCUUUCCUACCUCCUUACUCCCAGCUGGACCACGCUGCAUCAACAAGUGAUUGUCUGUGUGUGGAAGAGUGAUGCCAUUGUACACACUGUAAAUAUCUUCUUCUUCUUCAGCUGUGUGGGUGGAGAAGCUUUUCUGUUAGGGAGACGGUGUCCUUCUCACCUUCAGACAUGAGAUUAGAAAGAGAGAGAGUUCAGAUUACAGUGCAGAUAUGAAUGAAUGAAUCCGUGCUCGUCCUCACGGCUCCUGCAUGCUUUUAAAAAAGUGUGUGUUCAGCUCUGAUCUCCAAUCUGUUCUUUUCUCUCUUUGUUUCUUUCCUGGCUUCAUGAUCAUCAUCACACCGUCUGAGGCUCCUAAAUAUCCAUGUUUGCUUGUUUCACUCUCACAGUUGAACUCUGGGAGUCAAAGAUGUUUCAGCUCCAAACUCACUGAGAGCUCCUCGUGCCCACCACGUGACCAAAAACAUCUUUGUGCUCACGUGCUGCACGUGUCUGAGACACUUUAGUUUGAAGGAGACAAACUGCAGACGCAGCAUUUCCUGUUCCUGAGUGUAAACCUGAGCAUUUGAAAUGAGCUCCACAGGGGAAGCUGUAGGUGACAGAGAUACUCACAGACUCACUGACGUUACAGUCUGUUAGCAUCACGCAGUAUCACAGACACACGGGAAGAUUUAGUGCAAGUGCUGAGAGACACACAGCAGACAUAUUGACUGGAAACAUAUCAGACUGAAAUAAAGCAGAAGCACAUGUUAGCACAUGCUAAUAUGAUGUGGAUGUGUUUAGUGUGGGAGCAGGACUCACCUGAGACACACCUGUGUGGAUGAUGCUGCUUCCUGCUCUGCUCUUUCUGCUGAUUCAGCUUCUUCAUCACGUCUGAGGCUCUGUCACAGUUUGUUUGUCAACAUCAUCAUGGACACAACACAAGCACAUUUAUUUGACAUGUGAGUUUCUAUGAUUGUGAUUGAUGUGGAUGUAGAUGACAAAGAUGAUGAUAGAGAAGGGAUAUUGUACAUGUGUUCAGAUGAUGUAUGCAAACAGUCAUAACCUGGCUGUGACGUGUGUGGGGGAUUAAAAUUUUCCAAAAUGCAGUAAAUUAGGAUGACAGAAAUGAUGGCACCUCUGUUUUCACGUGAGCUAAAGCUACAGGUGUCACAUCAAACACUCACAGGGAAAACACCAAUCACAGCACGCACACAUAUACUGAACAUUACAGAGAGAAUUAUUAGAGAUCGACUCCGUUAUGAGCCUUCUUUUAAUAUCGAUGCCUGUUAAAAAUUUAUAACAGCCCUAAACAUGUCUUCAUUACAACAUGCAUCAGUCUAGUGUUUAUAAAUGAAUCUUUUUGUGCUACUGUCAGUAAUGCUGUAUAACGAGUUAAAGUGCUGCUAAAGUUAAACUCAGUGUGGUAUUUUCCAAAACUAUGGUGUCAUUGUGAUAGUUGCAGGCAAUGUUGGGUGUAACUGUAAUUAAAUUACUUUUCCACUGAAAAAGUAGAGUAACUAAUUACUAUUCAUUUUUAGGAAUUUUAAUUACAGUUACUUACAAUGUAUUUGUGUUACAUUGUAAAAUAAUUAAAUAAUAAAUAAAUAAAUAAUUAAACUCGCUGAAUAUCAUUAUUUAAGCAGGCAAAACUUGAUUUUACUUCAGCAGCACAGAAAGCGUCUGAAGGUGAGCUUAAAAAAUGAUUGCAGGCUACAUUGUGGAACAGAUGCUACCGCUGCGUACUGUAGAGUCUCCGUCUUUGAAAAAAAUUAUUUAUUAUUUAAAGAGUUUAAUUUCUAUUGUUUGUCCACUCAAGGUUUAUAGGGAUUUUAAGAAGUAUUUAGUUUAAUUACUUAUUUAGUAAUUAACUAACCCAAAACUGGUUGCAGGGCAUUGCGUUAAAAAAAAGUGUGUUGUACAGCUCUUUCC
Molecule: long non-coding RNA, 3765 nt
Filed under: Oreochromis niloticus (Nile tilapia)
Lineage: Eukaryota; Metazoa; Chordata; Actinopteri; Cichliformes; Cichlidae
Description: lncRNA (ENSONIG00000037414.1)
Source: RNAcentral